UUUGCUCUCUCAUUUGUCCUUACUGCCUGCGCAUAUCUCAUUCCUCCGUCUCUGGUCUUUUUUUUUUUUUUUUUUUUUUGGGUUUUGUUCUGCUUUUUAAGUACAUGUUGUCCACACGUGUUGAUCAUCAGCAAUGUUUCUGUUCAGAGGAUUUUUACUCUUUUUGUUUCAUUUUCACUCCUCUCCUUGUUUACUUUUUCCUUUCGUUUUUCUGCUUCUCUGUUGCCUCUUUUUGUUUCGUUUUCAGUUUUCAGUCUUCAUCUUCUCAUCCUUGCUCCAGCGCUGCACACAUCGCCUUCUUGGCGUUUCAAGUCUUGCUGUUUUUUGGAAACGGUGUUGUUCGUUUUCCCAGCUGUUGUGUUGGCAUUUUCAUGCUGGUUGUGCUUCAGGAUAAAUGGAAAACACACAGCCAACUCCUAUUCAUCAGUUAAAACCAUACACGAAAGCAAAAAAAAAUCAAAAUCCGGAUAUGCAGGAUAUGGAAAUCGACAAUCCCAGGCACCGUUCAAAAAUAUACAGCUUUGAACUGUAUAUUAGUUGAUGAAAUGCAAGAUGCCGUUGAGGCGACCACAUCAAAUGUUGAGUAUGAUGUUAUGGUUGCGAAGAUUGAAGCUGGUGGAUGCUAUGAAAUCAUUGAUUUCCGUACCAUUAAAAUUAGGGGACAAUACAAAGUAGUCCCGCAUGAAACUCAAGUUUUGUUUAAUGCGAUAACAAAAUUUAAAAAAUUGGCCAGUGUGUUUCCACCCAUCCCUCGCGAUCGGUUCUUUCUACAAGAUUACAACACACUUUACCCUCGCUUGGACAGGGUUGACAUCCUUACAGAUGUUAUCGGUUGUAUAAGAGCCGUACAGUCCUUGGAAGAAAAACAGAUUAAUCAGAGGGUUGCAUACAAAUGUGAUGUGCACAUUCAGAAUAUAAGAAAAGAAGAACUCAUGGUUACGUUAUGGGCAGACAUUGGUGAAGCUUUUCCUUCUUUGUCAACAGAGGCGUUUUCACUGCCAGUCGUGGUUGUUUUCACAAGUUUAAAAGUCAGACGCUACCUAAGUAUUUCAUUUAAUUUAAAAUUAAUCUGUUGCAUCCUUAUUUUGUUCUCUGUCCAUACUAAGUCAUUUCAAUUCUUUUGGUGUUUAACCAUUGUUGGAUUUUAUUAUAUUUAUUUGUUACAAUUAGUCA
Long non-coding RNA from Pyrus x bretschneideri (Chinese white pear), 1173 nucleotides. RefSeq lists it as uncharacterized. The record is from RefSeq and is a predicted model, not a curated record. The transcript is spliced from 6 exons. NCBI's taxonomy places the organism in Eukaryota, Viridiplantae, Streptophyta, Magnoliopsida, Rosales, Rosaceae.